UUGCCAGCCCGCUCAAGCGGAGGAGCAUGUGGUUUAAUUUCGAUGAUACGCGAGGAACCUUACCUGGGCUCGAACGUAAGAUGACUGUAGGUGAAAGCUUACAUCUCUUCGGAGCAUUUUACGAGGUGCUGCAUGGUUGUCGUCAGCUCGUGCCGUGAGGUGUCGGGUUAAGUCCCAUAACGAGCGCAACCCCUACCUUAGUUGCCAUCAGGUUAAGCUGGGGACUCUAAAGGAACUGCCUACGCAAGUAGUGAGGAAGCGGGGAUGACGUCAAAUCAGCACGGCCCUUACGUCCAGGGCUACACACGUGCUACAAUGGCCGAUACAGAGGGCAGCUACCUGGUGACAGGAUGCAAAUCUCCAAAGUCGGUCUCAGUUCGGAUCGGAGUCUGCAACCCGACUCCGUGAAGUUGGAUUCGCUAGUAAUCGCGCAUCAGCCAUGGCGCGGUGAAUACGUUCCCGGGCCUU
Molecule: ribosomal RNA, 468 nt
Filed under: uncultured Sphingobacteriales bacterium
Lineage: Bacteria; Pseudomonadati; Bacteroidota; Sphingobacteriia; Sphingobacteriales
Description: bacterial SSU rRNA
Rfam family: Bacterial small subunit ribosomal RNA
Source: RNAcentral